GCCAUAGACGGCGUCCAGCCUCUUCGUUUUCGACAUCAUCUUCCGGAUCCACCACCGUGGCACUAGCAAAUCGAGGUAAGGUAGCUGUUGUUCUACUAGUCUAUUCCUAUUGAAAAAAAAGGAAAAAAGGAUAAAUUUUAGUAGAAUUUUAUGAUUUCAGCAUCCUGUGGAACAAAACGAAAUGUUGCAUCCAUCCAUUACUAGGAACUAGCCGCCAAGAUGGUUAAUUUUUCUCAGCAAGUACACACAGAACACAUCAUGCAUUGUUCCAGGUUGCAGCACCAUCAGUAUUUCCCAGCAGGCAGACCAUGUAGUGCCAAUCUUUUAGUAAGAAAGAACAGCAAUUAUAGGAGCAUAUUGGUUACAUUAGUCUAUUAAUUUGAGUUUGUUUGACAACAUAAUCAAAUAUCAUUAGAAGUGUUAAUUACCUGUUAUUUGAUUCAUUUGCAACCCAUUGAAGUUUCAAUAUAAUUUUUGUUCAUAAAAGACAUGUGCACAAAAGAACGAGUGAAGCUGCUGUAACAAUCAGUCAAGUUCUAGCGCUUAUUAAAAGAAGAAAUGGCAUACAUCAUUCUAUUAGAAGAAUCGUUAGAAAGACUUCCAUUAAGCAAAGGAUUAUAUGUAAAAACCUCACUAAUCUCUUUAUCUUGCUUUCACACAAGGUCUAGGACUAGAUCCAUUGACCCCUUUGCUCUCGAAAUUGAGCACCCUUCGGUUGUUCAUAAAGCAAGCUGCCAUGAAAAAGUGUACACCAAGGAGGGCUCCAGUUGAAGUGGCCAACCCAUCCAGUCCAGCUUCUAAAACCAGAAGCAAGAAGAAACUUUAGCUUGAAUAAAUUAUAUGGAAGAACUACUACUUUUGAUAUAAUUUAAGACAUGUAUCGUUUGGUGUGAUGAAAACUAGUGAACUACUACUUUUUAUGUGUGGACUUAGUGUGGUGAACUACAACUUUAAAUGUUGAUGAUCUUUUUAUGUGUGGACUUAGGGUGUUGAACUACUACUUUAAAUGUUACUCAUAUAAACUUGUUGCUAUGGAUCCAAUUUAGUACUAAUGUCAUGUAUUUUUUUUCUAUUGUAGUCCCAUGUUUUUCAUAAUUUACUGAUUAAUUUGGGCAUUUUUCUGAUUUUUUUUCUAAAUUAUCCUGAUUUUAUGUGAAUUUUUGGAUUUAUUUACGAAUUUUCCUGUAUUUUUUAGAAUUAUCCGGAUUUAUGAGCCAUUUUUUCUGAAGUUUUGUGAAUUUAUAGACAUUUUAUAAUUUAAUUACGAAUUUUCAUACUUAUUUCCUGAUUUAAAUUAAUUUUGUCAUUUUUUAAAUUAUUUACUGAUUUUCUAUAUUUAUUUACUGAUUUAAAUUUGUUUCUGUCAUUUAAUUACUAAGAUGGGCAAAAAGGUCUUUUUACAUCUCCAUUUGAUACCGUUAAGCCUCCAUCCAUCCAAAAUGGCGUAUAGGUAAAAGAAAAUUGGGUGGAUGGCAUACAAGUGCCUACAAACUUUUUAGUGGCACACAGGUAACCACCAUCUUUUUUUAAUGGCACGUAGGUAAAGGACUCCCUUGUCGAAGAUGGUGGCUUAGGCGGCUUCGGCGUGGGCGAAGGAAACGUCUGAAGCGGCGUCCGGCGUGGGCGACCGAGGAAGCGAUGGAGGCGGGGGCCGAGGCGGCUUCCAGGAGAGGAGGCGGCCGAGGUGGGGACGGUUGGUUGGCAGCGGCCGAGGCGGGAUGGUGUAGGCGGCGUUCGGGAGAGGAGGCGGCCGACGGAGGCAACGGUCGUGGCUAGGAUGGCUGGAGACGGCGGAGGCGGCGAGUGGCGACGUAGGCGGCAUACGUGGUGACGGAGGCGGAGAUGGAGGAGGUGCAUGCAGGGAAUAGAUUGGAGGAUGUCGGGCUGAGUAGAUUGCAGGC
This 1901-nucleotide long non-coding RNA is filed under the name Oryza brachyantha (malo sina). RNAcentral's name for it is "long non-coding RNA (OBRA_LNC003074)". Lineage: Eukaryota; Viridiplantae; Streptophyta; Magnoliopsida; Poales; Poaceae. The record is from RNAcentral.